AAUAUCCCCCCGAAAGGGGAUAAUGGACCUGAUUAGGGUUAUGUACCUAGUUAAUGUCUGAAGCUGGAUUCAAACUCGCUUCUCCUCUACUCCAAAUGCAACUCCUCCUUCUCUGGACUAUCUAGCCAUCUAUGCAAAUCAAUGAGCUUUUUUUUUUCCCAAAAAAUUAUUUAUUUUUAUUAUUCAAAAGAUAUACAUGGAUCAUUUUUCAACAAAAUUGAAAAAUCUUGUGUUCCAAUUUCCGCCCCCUUACUCCUUCCCCCUCCCUUAGAUAGUAAGUAAUCCAAUAUAUUUUAAACAUGGUAAAAAUAUGUUAAAUCCAAUAUAUGUGUACAUAUUUAUACAAUUCUCGUGCUGCACAAGAAAAAUCAACUCAAAAAGGAAAAAAAUGAGAAAGAAAAUAAAAUGCAAACAAACAACAACAAAAAGAGUGAGAAUGCCAUGUUGUGAUCCACACUCGGUUCCCAUAAUCCUCUCUCUGGGUAUAAAUGGCUCUCUUCAUCAUAAGAUCAUUGAAACUGACCUCAAUCAUCUCAAUGAGUCUUUAUUGAGCACUAACCGUGUACAAGGCAUAGUUGAUACAAAAACAAAAGAAAAACUAGUCAAGUGCUCGACUUCUACACGUCAAUAGAUAUAGAUUGUGGUGUUGUGUAACUCUUCAAUCAACCAACCUGAUUGGUUGGUUGGUACCUGACAUGCAAAUGCGGGUUGGAUUGGACUGAAGUAACCAAGGGUACCUUUGUCUUUGUGGACAUUUUGUGCUUGGAAAAUCCCUGAGUUCAAAUCCGGCCUCAGAUAUUUAUUGGCAGUGUGGCCCUGAACCAGUCACAAUCUCAGUUUCCUCAUCUGAAAAAUGAGAAUAAGAGUACCCGCCUCCCAGGGUAGUGUCAGAAUAGAAUUAGAUAGUAUUUGUAAAGCGCUUCAAGUGCCAUAUAAAUACUGCUUCGUGUCAUUUUGCCAUUUUCCUAAUUUUCUUUCAUGGUUGGGAUAUCCCCGAGCUUGCUUAGAACCACCCAUGGCUCCCAGGAUUCACAGAUCUGCCAUUUUGGACCCUGAUCAUCUUCCCUCUUCCCUUUCCACUGCCACCGUCUCAUUGGACCCAGUUCCAGUGUCUGCUCCCCCUUUUCUCUUAUCCCCCCACACUUUGGAUCACACAAGUUGGGCAGACUAGAUGCCCAAGAGGUCCUUUCUAGUGCUAGGUCUUUGGAAUCUUAAUUCUGACAUGACUUGUGUGGCUUUGGUCAAGUCACUCACUUCCCUGGGCCUCAGUUUCCCCAGCUAUAAAAGAUAAAAAAGGAAUUGGCUUACCUGGCUUCUGCGGUUUCUUCCUCUGUGCACCUUUGUACUGAGCUCCUAAAGACCAGGCUCAGGAGACAUGAGCUCCAGUUGAUCUCAAGCAGCUGGAAAAGCUUCUACCUCCCACCGGCCUGACCAAUACAGGCCCCUGCCCCCUGAGAGCCAGCCUGGCUGACUUCUGAGAGGUCGGGCUCCCGAGGUCCUGCCAGCAGGGGAUGAAUGUUGGAGACACAGCAACUUGUGGAACCAUCCCUAAACGUGGAUGGAAACUGGGCAUCCUUUGUUCCAGCAAUGUCUCCACUGGGACUGUACCCCAAAGGGAUCAUGAAGGAGGGAAACAUGUGCAAAAUGUUCGUGGCAGCCCUUUCUGUAGUGGCAAGAAACUGGAAACUGAGCGGAUGCCCAUCAGUGGGGGAAUGGCCUAUGAAUGUUAUAGAAUAUUAUUGUUCUGUAAGAAAUGACCAGCAGGAUGAUUUCAGAAAGGCCUGGAGAGACUUAAACGAACUGACACUGAGUGAAAUGAGCAGGACCAGGAGAUCAUUGUACAUGGCAACAGUAAGAUUAUACAGUGACCGGUUCUGAAGGACGUGGCUCUUUUCAACAAUGAGUUCCAACGGACUGGUGAUGGAGAGAGCCUUUUAUAUCCAGAUAGACUGGGGGGACUGAGUGUGGAGCACAACACAGCAUUUUUACCUCUUUUGUUCACUUGUUGUUUGCUUGCAUUUCAUUUUCGUUCUCAUUUUUUUUUUCCUUUUUGAUCUGAUUUUUCUUGUUCAACAUGAUAAUUUUGGAACUAUAUAUAGAACUGCACAUGUUUGCCGUAUAUUGGAUUACUUGCUGUCUAGGGGGAAGAGAGGGGGAAAAUUUGCAAGGGUGAAUGUUGAAAAUUUUCCAUGCAUGUAUUUUGAAAAUAAAAAGCUUUAUUUAAAAAAAAAUGGGGGGGAUGGGUGGGCUGGCUCCCGUAUCCAUGGGCACAAUCCCUGGGGAAAGCACAGAGCUCUGAAAUAUUUACAGGGGAAAGGAUAUAGAAAUCCAGAAAGAGCCCACUGGAUGAAAUCACUCAGAGAGCAGAGCAAAGGAAACCAGCCCAGGAAGGCCCAGAGGCCAUCUGAAUCCAAUCCCCUCAUUUUAGAGAUGGAGAAACUGAGGCACAGGGAAGGGAAACAUGACAGGUAGGACUCUAGAACCACAGUUCUAGAGCUGGAGGAACCUCAGAGAUUCUCCUCAUUUUACUGAGCAGAAAACGGAUGCACAGAGAAAUUAAGGGACUUGGAAUGAGAAAUGUAGAACAAUCAGAAGGCUAGAGUUGAAAGGGGCCGCAGAGGCCAGGCAGUCCAAUCCACCCCCUUCACAGAUGGAAAAACUGAGGCCUCGAGGCCUCCAGGAUUUGAAUCCAGGUUCUAUGAUUCCUGAGCCAGGGAACUUUCUGUGGUACCAUGUGAAGAUCUAGGCUGAGGCAUUCUAAAUUGUUGGGCUGGGUUUUUUUUUAGCAGUUCCAGGGCCCAACUUAGACCAUCCCAGCCUCUCACCCCAGAAAACAUCAGGAAUGAUAAUGCGGUUUGUUUUGGUUUUUAGAGACUUGUUCUAACAACGACUGAGGCAUGUGGGUGUUUAGCCGAAGAGGAAUUUAACCACUUUCCUGCUCCCCCAUUCCUGGCCCCCACCUUCAGCGGGACUACCCCUUCAGUUCAGAUGGGGAAAGGUCCUCAGUCAGAACAAGGAGCUCCUGGCCUUUAACCUGUAGCCUCAGAGAGCUCCCCAGGUGAGGUCACACAGUCGGGAUGCGUCAGACAAAACUUGCACUCAGAUCUUCUGACUCUAAAGCUGGGCCUCUAGCUACUGCGCUGCUCAGUUAAUCUAGUGAAAGGCUGGUGGUACAAGCAAACGGUCAACAAGCAUUAAUUAAGGACCUACUGUAUACCAGGCACUGUGCUCAACUCUAUAGAUCAAAAAGAGGGUGAAAAUACAAUUCCUGUCCUCAAGCAGUUUAUAUUCUUUUUGUUUUAGUUUAGGUUUUUUUUUUUUUUUUCUGAGACAAUUGGAGUUAAGUGACUUGUCUAGGGUCACACAAUUAGGAUGUGUUAAGUGUCUGAGGCUAGAUUUGAAUUUAGUUAUUUUAAAUACACAUUGUUUUAUGAAUUAUAUUGGGAGAGAAAAAUCAGAGCAAAAGGGAAAAACCAUGGGAGAGAGAAAAAAGGAAAAAAAAAAGAAGUGAACACAGCAUGUGUUGACUUACAGUCAGUCUCUUAGUUCUUUUUCUGGAUGCAGAAGGCAUUUUCUGUCCAAUGUCUACUGGGAUUGCUUUGGAUCACUGAUCCACUGAGAAGAACAAGGCUUUCAUAGUUGAUUAUCACACUAACUGUUCUAAUAUUCUAGGUUCUGCUCGUUUCACUCAGCAUCAGUUCCUGUAAAUCUUUCUAGGCCUUUCUAAAAUCAGCUUGUUCAUCAUUUUUAUAGAAUAAUAUUCCAUUGCCUUCAUAUACCACAGCUUGUUCAGCCAUUCCCCAGUUAACGAGGAUCCAUUCUCUUUCCAAUUCUUUGCCACCACAAAAAAAAAAAAAAGUGGCUACAAACAUUUUUGCACAUGGGGGUCCUUUUUCCUCUUUUAUGAUUUCCUUGGGAUACAGACCCAGUAACGGCACUCCUGGGUCAAAGGGCAUGUACGGUUUUAUAGCCCUUUGGGCAGAGUUCCAGGUUGCUCUCCAUAAUGAUUGGAUCAGUUCAUAAGGAGUCAACGUUCUAACAGGGAAUCAACACGUUAGUAUGUAUAAAAUGAGCAUUAGGCAAUUGGAGGAGGGGGAAGGGAGUGACAGUUGGGGAAAUCAGGGAAGGCUUCAUGUAGGAGAUAGUGUUUGAGCCGAUCUUUGAAGGAAAACUGGAGGGUUAAAGGAGCAGAGGGAACCCAUUAAAGGCCUCCCCAAUAACUAAAGGCUGAUGUGCAGACUGAGCAAAGGAGACUAGUUGGGCUGGAUCAUAAAGCAUGUGAAGGGACGGUUUGGGUAAUAUUUAAUAAAGCUGGAGAAGUAGGUAGGUUGUGACCAGGUCCUAAAAGGCUUUGAAUGUCAAACCAUGAGGCUUUAGACCAAUGGUAUCAAAUUUAAACAGAAAUGGAAGCCACUAAGAUGUGCAAGGAUCCCCGUGGGACACGGAUUGACUUAACAAACCACACAUGUUUAUGUAUUUUUUUUUUAUUUAAACAUCAAUACAUUAUAAUCUGAGAGGAGCUGCAUUUUAAUCUGGUUCAGGUCAAGGAGGGAGGGCUAGAGACCACAUGUAGUAAAGAGCAGAGUGGAAUUUGAACCUGGCUCCCCUGGGUGUGUUUCAAGUAUCCUGGUCUCCAGAUCCUCUGGACAUGCCAGAUCAAACACUGCCCUGUGCUCACUCUCACCCAAUCAGGAAACACUUUAUUGUAUUUCCCUCAUGUUAUGCCUUGAUCACCGAUGAUCAGGUUUGUCCUGAAUAGCCGCCUUCUCCCAACCUUCCCAUAGCCUUAAAAAGCACAAGCAUUCCUUCUAACACACCGGAUCGCUAGCCAGGGAAUAAGCAUUUAUUAAGCGCCUACUGUGUACCAGCCACUGUGCUUUAUGCUAGUGAUAAAGAAAUGUAAUUCCCUUCCCUUAACCUCCUUUGCCUUCCUUUCGCUAGUAUCACAUACCCAAAGAGAAGUGCAGAAACAAAAGGAAAAAGCUUCCUAUCUGUAAGGAGUGCCCAUUUUACUGAAAUGUAUGACCUGUGAAGAAUGAAUGGCAUAUAUGGGUAUAAUUCCCAUUGAUAGGUAAAGCAAGAGCAUUUCUUCUUCUUUAUUUUUUUAUUGUUUUGCUUUUUUUGCUGAGGCAAUUGGGGUUAAGUGACUUGCCCAGGAUCACACAGUUAGGAAGGGUUAAGUGUCUGAGGUUGCAUUUGAACUCAGGCCCCCCCGUUCUCCAGGACUGGUGGUCUAUCUAGUUGCCAUCCAGAUGCCUCCAAAGCAUUUCUUUUCACCCCACAUGUGCCCAGGAUCGUGCUGGACCCUGAAGUGGUGCCAUGCAGGCAGAGGGAAAAGUUAAAAAAAUUAUAUCUAAUAUUUAAAUAGGUAUUUAAGGUUUGCAAAGCACUUCACAUCUAUUAAUUUUCUCAUAUCCUUAGUAGAGCUUGGCGAUAAUGAUGAGGUACAUUAUCUCCAUUUUGCAGAUGUGAAAACUGAGGCUGAGAAAGGUCAAGUACGAUCACAAUGCAGUGAACGUCAAGCCGGCCUGGGAAUUCAGGUGUGGACUCAAUUCGAAUCUUUCCUCAGAUUUCUGGCUGUGUCACCCCAGAACACAUCUCUCCAACUCAGUUUCUUCCUCUGCAAAAUGGGAUCAGGCUCUCCUCCAAGCACUAACCCCAAAAGGCUAUUGUGAGGUUCAAGUGGAAUCACCUGUGUAAGAUGCCCCGCCAAACUUACAGCAUUCUAUGUGCCAGGUAUUUAAACAGCAUUCGAUAUUGUUAAGACACAUAUUAUGCUAUUACAUUGUAUAUUACAUUUUCUGUUGCUACAUAUUAUAUUAUCUUAUAUAGUAUAUUAAAUAGCAAUGCUAUCAUUUAUAUAUCAUGUCACAUUAUGUCAUAUUGGGUAUAUCCCGCCGUAUCAUAACUAUGUUAAAUAAUAUCUUUCUAAAGCAAUUGUAGCAUAUGUUCGAUAUAAUGUUAUAUUCUAUUAUGUCAUGUUAUUUAUGCAUUAUAUAGCACAGCAUAGUCUCUUGUAUUAUAUAUGGCUAUAUUGUAUUAUAAUAGUUUAAUAUAAUUAAUUAUCUGUCAUGUCAUAUUGGUACAUCCCGCCAUAUCAUAACUAUGUUAAAUAAUAUCUUCCUAAAACAAUUGUAGCAUAUGUUCGAUAUAAUGUUAUAUUCUAUUAUGUCAUGUUUUAUAUUUAUAAUAUAUUAUAGCACAGCAUAGUAUCUUGUAUUAUAUGCGGCCAUUUUAUAUUCUAAUAGUAAAAAAUAGUUUACUUAUUAUGCCACGUAAUAUCGUACUCCACUGGCGUCAAGGGGCUCUGUUCUGACAUGCACUAGCCACGGAAAUCUGGCCAAAUCACCCGACUUGGCAGAGCUCUACACAAAAUUUUAAGACCAGUUGCGGAGCUGCUGCCCAUCGGGGUGGUAGAUAGAUUAGAUUCCUAGAUCCAUUCCCACCAGGGUCCGUAGACAGAGCUCCAAACCCAAAGCCAGAAAGAUCGGCCUUCAAAUCCAGCCUCUAAUACUGGCUGAUUAUGUGACCCCGGGCAAGUACUUGACUGCCUCAGUUUCCUCAUCUGUAAAAUGGGGGUGAUUAUAACACCCACCUGCCAGGGUGCUUGUGAAGAUCAAAUGAGGUCAUAGUUGGAAAGGGCUUAACACAAUUCCUGGCACACAGUAAGUGCAAUGCAAAUAUUAGCUGUUUUUAUUAUUGUUGUUAAACAAGUUGUGAAACAUGCAGAUAAUGGAAUGGAAUAUUGCGGUGCUGAAAAAAGAAUGUGGUGAAUGAAGAGAGGGUUGGAAGAUUUGCAUGAUGGGAAGUGAAGAUGUGAAGAAAAGCCAGGAAAAGCCCAGAGUCAAGAACGGAAACAGAAAGACACAUCCACAAUUAUCCUGCAAUUAUCAGAGACCUGGGCCUAUAGAACAAACAGAACAAAGCACUCACAGCCUUCCCUUCCUUGUCAAAGUGGGGGAUCGUGGGUCCCGAACACUGCACACACCAUCACACUGGGUUGAUAGGUUGGUUAGUUUUGCUGAUAUGAUUGUCUCUCUCUCUCUCUCUCCCCCUCCUCCUUCCCUCCCUUUCUCUUCUUCUUCUCCUCCUCCUCUCUCUGUCUCUGUCUUGUCUCUGUCUCUCUCUGUCUCUCUCUGUCUCUGUCUUUCUCUCUCUCUCGAUAAGGUAUUCUAAAAUUUGAGACAUUUAAUCUACUGUCCCAUCCUAGGCAGGUUAUCCCUUCCUUGGCUUCCUGGUCAUGCAGAGAUCUCCUGAGGAGACACACUCCCGAAGCCCUGAUUCAGCAGCCCCUGUGUGCCAGGCACCGUGCUAGGCUAGGAAUACAAAGGCACAAAGCCCUCUCUGCCCUCGAGAAGCUUCUGUUCUAUCACGGACAAGGCCAGAUAAAGGCCCAUUUUAUGGACCUGAUACAGCAGGUGCUCAGAAAAGGGACUGGGUGAAGUUGGGGAAACAGUCACCAAGUUGAGAAGGCAGGGACUUGCUCUGCACCCAGACAUGGUGGCCAUAUUCAGGGAAGGGAAGAGAAAGGCCUUCCAGGUUGGAUUAAUGGAUGUUCUUGUUGUCUUUACAUCCCCAGCUCUAGUGUCCUGCACAUAGUAGAAGCUUCAUCAAUACCGUUCAAUGUUUUUAAACAUUUAUUAUAUUACUAAAUGCUUAUUGAUCAUUUAUUAAGAAUCUAAUGUAUUCUGGGCAUUGCUAAGUUCUGAGUGAGAUAAAAAAUGUGAAGAAAAUAUAAUUCCGACUUUCAUGGAGCUGUCCAUCUGAUAGGGAGAAAAGACACACACAGAGAUGUUUGCGACAGUAAGAUCAUGUAAUAAGGACAGUAGAAAGCUAUAGAGGUCUGUGUGCGGUCCAACAAAAAGGUUGACUACUGACUGAAGAAAUCAGGGAAGACUUCCUGAAAGAGAUAGCAUCAGAGUUGAGCUUCGAAGUAAUGGUAGGGAUUCAGCAGGGAAAAAAGGAAAGGAAGGCACAUAGGUAUAGCAUGGGAGCUGGAGAAAACAAGCAUUUGUGGACAGAGUCAUCCAGUUUGGCUAAACCAUAGAAUGCAUGAGACAAAAUAAAGCUGGAAAGUUAGAGCAGAAUAAAUUAAAUUGGAUGUUUUGCUCUCUGAGUAAUUGGGAACCAAAAGGUUCCCCAAGUUGCCCUGCUCUAGGUCUUCACGGCAGCCCACCAUCUGAUCACUUGUGCUAAGGGUGACAUAAAGAAAGCUAGUGGUUGGUUUGCCGAGGAUGGUGGAGAGGGGAGACAUGGGCUGGAAUCUGGCUCCAGGGGAUUAGUGGGCAAAUUCAUUUAUUCAUUCGCCACCCGUUACUGACAUGUGCAGGGUUGGAGAAGAUAAGAGCAAUAACACAAGAUUUCUGCCCUCAGAGAGCUUAUAGUCUAGUAAGGAUCACAGGGCUUAGAGCUAGAAACAUCCUUAGAGAUCAUUUAGUCCAAUCUUCUCUUUUGACAGAUGAGGAAACUGAGGCUCCACAUUCUAGUAAGAGACAGAAUCAAGGGAGAUCAUAAUGGUACAAUGGAAAGAGAGAAAAAGUUUUGGAGGUAAAGUCAAAUCUAGCUUCUGUCACUAAUUAUCUUGUGAUCUUAAGCAAAUCACCCCUCUCUGUGCCUUAAUUUACUCCUCUGUAAAGUGAGAGGGAUUGGAGUAGAUGACCUCUCAGGUCCCCAAUAUAUGUGUGGUCCCAAUAUAUUCUUACUGACUCUCUUCCUCUUGCUCUUCUUUAUUUCUUCCAUUCUCCCUCUCUUCUCUUUUCUUCUCUUUGUUUUCCUCUCCACUCUUCCUCCAUCCCCUUCCCUACUCUAGGUCCCUACUUCCUUCCCACUCAGUGUGGUUUAAUCUUGCUAGCAGCCCUUGAGCCAAAGACCGAAUGACUGGGGCUGUAUGGGAAGAAAGAUCUGUUCUCUCCCUCUGUCCAGAAAGUCUGGAUUUGUACCUUCAUUUGAUUGAAUCAUUAACUAAAAAAACUGGGUUCCCAAAGGAGCCUUGUGGGUAGACAUGAGGGGCCCAAUCUAAGAAGAGAUUUUAGAUGGAUAUUUAUCCAUCUAAAGUGGAUGUCAAGUAAAGUCAAGUGCCAGAGUUCAAAAAAUCAAUUACAUAAGCAAAGAAGGAUGGUAGAGGUAUGGUAUGUUAAAAAAUCUGAGGGGCUUAGUGGUCUACAAGUUUAAAAUGAAUAAAUAAUACAACAGAAUAGUCUCAAUUCAUUAAGAGAAGCAGGAUCCAUAAAAAAGUCUAACUGCCCUGGGUUAGGUCCCACUUGGAGGAUUGUGUUCAGGUCUGGUACAAACAGGAGAAAGGCAACUAGAAUACUGAAGGGAUUGGGGACCAGAUGAUCCCUGAAGUCCCUUCUAAUUUUAAGUCCUAUGAUCAAAAUAAGAGUCAAUGAGUGGAAAGAAUAGGAACCUGGAAAAGAGAAGAUUUGGGAGUAUGUGACUUGUCUCUGAAGGGUUAUUAUUGGAAGAUUUGUUCUUAAAUUUAAGUAAGGAGAUUUUUCUUUGUUCUUUCUCUUUCCUUUUUCUUCCUCCCUCUCAUCUUCCUUUCUUGUCUUCCUUCCUUUCCUUUCUUGUACCCUUCUUUCUUCCUUCAUUUUCUUCUCUUCCUUCCUUCCUUUUCUUCCCCUCCUUCCUUCCUUUCCUUUCCUUCCUUUCUUCCAUCCUCUUUCCUUCCCUCUUUUCCUUUCUUUCUCCUUCCUUCAAUCCCUCCUUUCUUCUUUUUUUCUUACUAACAGAAUAUUCCAAAAGUUGGAAUGGGGAGUGGGGCUCAAUAGAUAAUGAGUUCCCCAUCACUGGAACAAAAGCAAAAAGCGAAAAAGCUAGAGGACUGUGUAUCAGAAAUCCUGCAGAGGCAUCGGUGUGAGUCGAACUAAGUCACAAGAUCUAUUUCAAAUCUGAGUUUUUGAUGUCCGAUGACUCCUUUGGCUGAAUUGAAAAAAAUUACAAGGAAUAGAGAGACUCUUUCUUCCAAGUUGAGACUUGACCACUCCGGUCACCUCGGAAGAGCUGAUGGAGAAGGUGACCUCAAGCCACUGCUAUUCCAAGAAUCUGCCCUUUUUAGCUCCACGAAAAGUCAUCCGGACACUCACAGCUCUGACUGUGUCUAGAGCUUAGCUAAUCGCUUCCCACCAUUUGAAAUAGCUUCUUCUUGGGAAGCAUCCCCUUCUUUCCCAGCACCCAGGCUCAAAGUCUGAAUCAUCUUCCUUUUCUGUUUAGAAUUUGGGGACUGGAGUUGAAAAGAGUCUCAGGGGUCAUCUAGUCCAAUCCCCUUAUUUCACAGGUAAGAAAAAUGAGGCCCAGGAAUGGGAAGGGACUUGUCCAACAGCAGACAGGUAGUGAGUUUUGGAAGAGAGAUCUGAAUCCAGAUCUUCUGACUCCCAAGCUCUUUCCUCACCUCUUGACUCAGUUGCCAAGUCUUGCUGUUUUUUUUUUCUUUUACGAUGUCUCUUAUGCCUAUCCCCACCAUCUUUCUCCCUAAUAUAAUACAAGGCUGGAAAGGUAAGGUGAUGGCAGACUGAGUCAGCACAUCUGAUAGCCAGGGAACCAGGCUCCAACUUAUAUCAAACAGAUUCCCAAACUAGGUCUGCCUUAGGUCCUCACAGCAGCCGUCCCUACUUAGGCUGAUAGGGAAAGAAAGCCAAUGGUUAGGUUCUUAUGGAAUGGGAUGGUCUUAGGUUGGAUCCCGGCCUCCAUCAAGGAGCGAGCAAAUUCAUUCAUUCAUCCAUCCAGUAACUCCUACCAGUUUCUCUGCUUCCACUUUCUCUUUUCUCAUCCAAUCUACACACCCAACCAUACAGAUCUUCCUACUGAAUCCCUUAUUUCCCUAUUCAGUAAUCUCCAGUAGCUCCAUAUUGUGUCUACAACAUCCCAGUUCUUCAGGCCAACAGUCAAGGCCUUUCAUGAAAUGCUCCCAACAUCUCACUCCUGUUCCUUCAUGUGUUUUAUGCUACAGAUAUCUUGGACCAUCCACACAAGGCUCAUGAUGUGUCCCUUCCCAGAAUGCUCUAUUUCCUGCUACAUCUUCAAGGCUCAGCUCAAGUCUCCAUCCACUCUCUCUUCAACCACUCAGGCUUCAGGGACUUUCCCUUCUCUGAAUUCCUGGAGCUUUUAAAGUCCUUUCCAAUCCUCUGGCCUUUUCAUAGACUGCCCUGUGGUAUAAGCAAUCCUUGGGGUCCUUGUCCCGAGUCCCCUACUAGAAAGUAAGCCCCUUGAGGGCAGGGGGGGUCAUGUCUUGUAUGUGUGAGCAGAGGGUAGUUAAAAAAAAAAGACAACAUGGAAGCAAGAGAAACCAACAAUUCCAAUAGACUUGGGAUAGAAAAUGCCAUCCGUAUUCAGAGAGAGAACUAUGGAGACUGAAUGUGAUCAUUUGUUGUUGUUAUUAUUUGUUUGCUUGUUUUUUUUUCUUAUGGAUUUUUCCCUUUUGAGCUGAUUUUUCUUGCACAGCAUGACGAAUAUAGAAAUAUGUUUAGAAGAAUUGCAUGUGUUUAACUUAUAUCAGAUUGUUUGCUAUUUUGGGGAGGGGGAAAGGGAAAGGGAGGGAGAAAAAUUUGGAACAAAAAGUUUUGCAAAAAUGAAUGUUGAAAACUAUCCAUGUAUUGAGGGGAAAAUACUAUUGGGAAAAAAAAUAAAUCCCAAAAUAAACAAAAGAGUUCUGAGUUUGAAUCCUGCCUCUCACACUUACUCAUUGUGUGAUCAAAGUCAAAUCAUUUAGCCAGUUUGAGCCUCAGUUAAGGAAGCCGAGAGGUCACUAAAAAGAAGUCAUCGAUCAAGGAAAAAGUCCCCUCACUGUGAAUCAGAAAAGCAGAACAUUUAGAGCAAUAAGCACUUAUUAAGCACCUACUGUGUGCCAGGCACUAUCCUAAGUGCUGAAGAUACCAAAAAAAAAAAAAAAAAAAAAAAAAGAACUCUCCAUGGCUUAAAGGGAGCUUACAAUUCAGUGCCUUCCCUGUAAUAUUUUCUUCAAUUUAUUCUGAACAUUUCUUAUAUGUAGAUAGAGGUCAUUGCAUAUUGCCUCCCCACUAGAAUGUGAAAUCGUUGAGGACAGGGAUUGUCUUUUGCCUUUCUUUCUAUCCCAUCACUUAGCACAGUGUCUGGCACAUAGUAAGUGCUUAAUAAAUUCUUGUUGAUGUAAUCUUAGAAAUUAUCUAACCCAGUACUUAUUACAGAUGGGGAAACUGCGAUUAGGAGAGGGACUGUGAUUUGUCCAAGGUCACCUAGGGAGUCAGUGUCAGAGUUGAGAUUUGAACCCCAACCCUCAAAUUCUAAAACCAGAUUCUUCUCCAGUGCACAAGAUUGAACCUGAUUUUUGUGCUCAGAGUCUGUAGGUUAUCUAUUUAGCUAUCCAUCCAUAGACUCAUCCAACUAUCUACAUAUCUACCCAUUUAUCAUUCAUCCAUCCAUCUAUCCAUCCGUCAUUCAACUAUCUUAUCUAUUUAUCCAUCUAUUAUCUAUCUACCCAUCUAUCAUUCAGCUAUCUACUUAUCCAUCCAUUUAUCCAUCUAUCUAUCCAUCCAUCCAUCCACCUAUCCAUCUAUCUAUCCAUCCAUAGAUUCACCCAAUUAUCUAUCCAUCCACUUAUCCAUCUAUCUACCCAUCCAUAGAUUCAUCCAACUAUCUAUUCAUCUAUCUACCCAUCUAUAACCUAUCCACCAUCCAUCCAUUUAUCCAUCCAUAGAUGCAUCCAAAUAUCUAUCUGUUCAUCCAUCUGUCUAUCCAUCUCGCUAUCUUUCUUCUAUCUCUCUAUCCAUUCAGCUCUGCAAAGAAUGACGGUGAAGAGAAAGCUCUGUUGUUCACGAUUCCAAGGUGGUCCCGGGAUCAGAUCAAUAAAUUAAAGCCAGGAGGUAGACAUAGUACAGUAGAUAGGGAACUAUCCUCCCAGUCUUCGGGAGACACAGCUUCUAAUCCUGCAUAUGACACGACCUGUCUGUGUAACCUUGGGCAAGUGAUAAUUCGAUCUCUCAGUACUGCCCCUCCACCCCAAUCCCACAGUUCCCUCACCCCUGACAACGCUAUAAAUCGAAGAUUGUAUUGAAGAAAAGGUGUGCUCUGUAUUGUUAGAGGGUGCUUCUGGUACAAAAGGUCAAGAAUAUCAAGGGAACUAAUGAAAACAAAUGCAAAGAAAGGCAGUUUAGCUAUACCAGACUUAAAACUAUAUUCUAAAACAGCAGUCACCAAAACCAGUUGGUACUGGCUAAGAAAUAGAGUGGUGCAUCAGUGGAAUAGUCUAGGUACACAUGACACAAAAGUCACCGACUAUGGUAAUUUGGUGUUUAAUAAACUUAUAGACUCCAGGUUCUGAGACAAGGACCUCACUAUUUCACAAAAAUUACUGGGAAAACUGGCAAAUGGAAUUACAGAAACCAAGCAUCGAUCAACAUCUCACCCUAUACUAAGAUAAGGCAAAAUAGGUUCAUGAUUUAGACACAGAGCGAUAUUAUAAUCAAAUUAGGAAAGCAAGGGGUAGUUUACCUGUCUUAUCUUUUGAGGAUGGAGGAAUUUAUGACUAAACCAGAGAUAGAGAACAUUAUGAAAAGGCAAAAUGGAUAAUUUCAAUUACAUUAAGUUAAUGUAAUUGAUUUGUGCAAAAUUACAAAUAAAACUAAUGUGUGAGCUUCAAACAAGACUAUGUAGAUAAAGUACUUUGACACUUAAAAGCACUAGAGAAACGCCAGUGUAUCAUUAUUUUUCUCUCUCGGAUUUGUUGUCUCCCUCGUCCUCUGCAUCUCUUUUCUCCUUUUCCUCUCCCUCUCUCUACCCUCCCUUACAUACAAUUCUUUCUUCCCCUUUUCUUCUUCCCCUUCCUCUUUUUCUGCCUUUUUCUUCUUCCGCCUUCUCUCCUUCCUUCUAUUCUUCUUCUCCUUCUUUCUCUUCCAUCUCUUCCUCAUCUUCCUCCUCUUCCCCUCCUCUCCCUUACCCAAUAUUUUUCCUUCCCCCUUUCUUCUUCCUCCUCUUUCUUCUCCUUUUUCUUCUUCCUCUCCUUCCCCUUCCCCCUCCCUUGACCACAACUUUCUCCUCCCUCUCUUCCUCUUCUUGUUCUUCCUUUCCCUCCUCUUUUUCCUCUUCCUUUUUCUCCUGCUGCUUCUGCUGCUUCCCGUGUCUCUCUCUUUGUCUUUCUGUCCCUAUCUCGGACUAUCUUUGUCUCUCUCCCCAUCUAUCUGUCUCCUUUUUACUUUGGUCUCUUCCUCUUCCUCUCUUCUCCCUUUGAUCUUUCUUCCUUUCUUCUCUUCCUGUCCCUCAGUCUCUGUCUCUAUGUAUCUGUUUCUUUCUCCUUUAAUAUUUCAAGACUCCGUAACUUGGCUGUUGUAGCUAGUCACAACUUAGAUGGUUUUUAAGAAUAUGGCCAUUUCUCCCUACCCCACCUUCCACAUCCUUCCUCUCCCAACUCAGCUAAACCUGUCUUCUGAAAAGAGAAUCACAGCCCACAGCUUGACUUCAUCAUCCAGCUCAAAAUCACCCAUUUUAUUAUUAUUAUUUUGCUGAGGCAAUUGGGGUUAAGUGACUUUCCCAGGGUCACACAGCUAGGAAGUAUUUUGUCUGAGGAUGGAUUCGAACUCAGGUCCUCCUGACUUCAGGGCCAACAUUCUAUCCACUAAGCCAUCUAGUUGUUGCCCCCCAUCCCCACCCUGAUCUUGGUUAUCUCGGGCUAUCUCGACCCUCUGCUACAUAUUUGUUCAUCAAUAUACCUGUUCUCCAUCUCUCUCCAUCUCUCUUGCUCUCCAUUUUUCCUCCCUCGCCCUGCAGUUCAGAGUCGCUCCGGAGCUCAGAAUUGACCUGGUCUCCAUCCCCUUGCCCUGCCUUCAGGCGAGCCUCCUUUCAUCCCAACCUCACUCAUCCCUGCUACCUUAAAGUACUGUCGGCCCUUUGUCUAUUUUCAAAGGAAAUGCAUUGAAUAUUAUUUUCCCUUUGAGAAUUUUAUGAGGAUCUCCCCCUCCCCCUUCCCCUAACCCCCAGGGUGACCCUGAACUAGACUUGAGAAUUGCCAGGCUAAGUUUUUCCGAACUAAAGGAGAUCGAUACUGUUCUCAGAUAUAUCCAGGGAGCAUGUCAUCUCCCUGGGGAAGCCUUGGGUAAUGACCUUUCACCCCGGGGGUAAAGGGAUUGAGGAAAAGGCCAGGAGAGGAGAAAGGAAUAGCCCUUGUUGCCAAGGGAAGACAGAAAGGAGUAAAUUUUCAUCUGAAGUGAGAGGGAUUCACAGGGAACCCCAGAAUAGGGCGAGAAUACAGUGUACACCCUUUGUUCUCCUUGGGCAUGAAGGAUGAUGGGCAUAGAAUCUUGCUUAUUUUCUCAAAUUCGGACGAUGUGCUGGUUAAUUCGGCCGAAUGAACUGUUUGUCCCCACCUUUUUCCCCUUUGGGGUUUAGCACACUGAAUAAAGUGCCUCUGGGUCUGGAGUCAGAAAGGCUCCUCCUUGCUACAUCCUUUCCAACUCAUUUUACAGAUGAGGAAACUGAGGCAAACAGAAUUAAGUGACUUGUCCAGGGUCUGCCUGAAGCCAAGUUCAAAUCAAAUCAAAAGUCCAGAUUUGAUUUAUUUCCUUUCCCACCCCCUUUUAUCCUAAUUGGUAAUAAGUAAUAUUCAUUGAAUUGAAUUCUAUUCCAUGGGACAGCCAGCCCUUCCAAUUUUUGGACAGGAAUCGUGUCCCCCUGGCUUUCUCUUCUAUAGACUGAGAUCCUCAAUUCUUUUCAGCCGAUCUCUCAUUGUCCUGGUCAGCUAGUCACAGUCCAGUUUAGUGAUAUCCUUCCUAAAACAAGCUGGCUGGAGAUGAAUGCAGUCCACCAGAAGCCAUCCAACCAGAACAGAAGGAGUCCCUACUAAAAUAAAUAUAUAAAUAAAUAAAUGAAAUGAAAUAAAAUUACAUAAAUCCCGAAGUUUUACAUGUUAAAACCCUUUCUUAACAAACCCUAAAAUAACAGUGGUCCACCAGAAGUCAUCCAACCAGAACAGGAGUCGUUACUUAAAUUAAAUAUUUUAUUUAUAAAUAAAAUAAAAUUACAUAAAUCUCAAAGCUUUACAUGUUAAAAAAAAAAACCUUUCUAAACAAACCCUAAAAUAAUAACAGCCCAUCAGAAAUUAUCCAACCAGAACGGGAGUCAUUACUAAAAUACAUAUUUUAUUUAUAAAUAAAAUAAAAUAAAAUUACAUAAAUACAUAAUUUAGAUAUUAAAAACCCUAAAACAACACUAGUUGUGUUCCUUUUCCCUGACAUCUCACACGUUGGUUCAGAUUAGCUGGUUUAUUAGCUGAUCUUGGGCAAAUGAUUUCUCCUCUGGACUGUGAGAACUGAGUGGGGUUCACAACAUAGGAUUCUCACUCUUUUUGUCGUUGUUCGCUUGCAUUUUAUUUUGCUUCUUUCUUUUUUUUUUAAACUGGUUUGAUUGGAUUUUUCUUUGCGGCCUGAUAAUAAUUGUAUAAUUAUACAUAGAUUGGUAUAUUUUUACCACGUUUAAUAUAUAUUGGACUACUUGCCAUCUAGAGGAGGGGGUGGGGAAAGGGGACGAGAACUGGAACACAAGGUCUUGCAAGGGCUAAUGUCGAAGAAAUGGCCACGCGUGUGUUUUGACAAACAAAAAGCUUUAAUAAAACAAUACUAAUUUCUCCUCGGACCCCCGUUUUCCUUGCUAGGGGCGCAGGAGAGACUGUUGACCUUCUAACUACCUGGAAGGAUCUCAGAAGGUGAGCGAAUAGCAGCCCGGCUCCCUCAGAGCCCAGGUGAGCCAGAUCUGUUUUCCCACCAGUCCCUGACAGAGACAGAAGUCCGAGCCUCAGCGAGUGUGUGUAGGGGGAAAGGAGGGAAGGGAGAUAUCUGCCGAGGGGAGAAUGAGCAGAUAGGACGCCCUUUGUAGCUAGCACAGAUGUUUGGUAAAUGCUGAUUAAUUGACGGAGCCAACAAGGCCGGCAAUCAGAGCAGAAAGGGAGAGCGCAAGGUGGCCGUGCUCUGCAUACAACAGGUGCUUAAUAAAUGUGGAUUGCUGGGUGGAUUGAGGAGGGAAUCAGCGAGUUGGCAGGAAACCCUCUGGGGAUAAUUAACGGGUUACUCGAAGGCUCAGUUGAGGAGAGAAUCCGUGGCUAGUACCGGGUUCUCACUAGGUGCUUAAUAAUUGCUGAUUCAUCUUUGAUGGAAGAGCAAUGGGCAGAAAGACGAGACAGAAUUGGGGCCCGGAGGUGAGGACCGGGUACAGCGGGAGAGAUGAGGCUCCAGUGAGGGGGAGGGGGGAAAGGAGGAGGGGAUGGAGGGGUGGCAAGGCCCCGCGUGGCCUGAGAAAGCCGGACUGUCUCGAGCCCUUGUGGCCCGUCGGCCAAGGAAGGCUCCGGUUACGGGCCGGCCUCUGGGCCCCCCCUUUCUGCCCCCCCCGUCUGUCUCCCUCUCCCUCCCUCACAUUCCUCCGGGAGCUGCUCGGGGCUUGAAUGACACCCCAGAUGAGUCUUCGCUAUGAAUUCCCACAGACAGAAUGGGGCCCUUGUUCUCCGGUUCCUCCACUCGGGGAAGAAUGGCCAGCGCCGAGCGAGAGUUAACCCUUCUCCCGGCUCCCCCGGAGCCCUCGCGAGGCCAGGAGGAGCCCGGGGGAGGGGGGAGCUCGUUAGAGACUGGGGUGACGUGCCCCACUCCCCAGAGAAAGGAGCAGGGGCAGCGCAUUGAGGGGGGCUGGGAGGCCCCCGUGGUCUGUCGGGAGUCAGGGCCCCGGACUAGCACCUAGCGCCCCCCAGCCUCUCCCCCCCCCCGUCUCUCUCCGGCCAUUGCGUGUCCCCCGGAUGAGAGGGUGGGGGGGGCAGCGGGGUCCCCUGGCUCAGCCCUCCUCCCUUCCUGCUCUCCCUCCGGAGGGGGUUAAAAGCUCGCAGGCAGGACACCGCCUGCCAGGGCAGGUAGCCGAGGAGAGGCUCCUCUGGCUCCUCCGAGGCCCCCAACAACACAGGAGAAAUUGCUCAAUUUAGAAAAAAAAAUCCCCUUCUUUUCAAUUCUGCGAGCUACCCCACCCCCACCCCCCCAUCUCCUCAGUCUACCUUCCCUAGAGGGAGGCAGACCGCGGAUCUACACAGCCAAGGCUGCAGGACAGAGGGCCAGGGGGAGUGGGAGCCCACCCAUUUCACAGAUGUGGCAACUGAGGCCCAGCAGAAGAGAAAUGACUUUUCCAAGAUCACCCGGUACUGGACUCAGAGCUACCUGGCUCACCAGGAACUCUGGUUUUUUUCCUAAGACUUGUGUGAGCUCCCUUAUAAGGGAACCCUUUCCCCCACCCCCAUCCCCACCCAGAGCCCAGCCAGGCCCAGCCCUGGCUCUCCAGAUAUUCUCCCCAACCUUGACUUCUUCUGCCCUUGAAGCAGGCAGCCUGGGACCCUCCACAGGCUCACCAGAGAGGAGAGGGCUCUGCCCAGGAUGGACUCUGCCCUCCUUACCCCUGACCUUCCACCACCUCCCAGAGACCUGGGGGACAGCCAUGGGUACUGCGGCCAAGCCACAUGACUGGGCCUGGACCUGGCUCAGGGGAACGGCCCCUGCCCUGCCCACUUCCGUCUUUGCCUGGCUCAGUCCCGUGGGCACUUGGGCCCUGUUGGGCAGCGCUGUCCUGUGGCUAGGACACAGGUCCUAUAAUAAGUCUGGGCUAGGAGCAGGGGAAAACUGGGUGCUGACGUUUCCUUAUGAGAGUCAUUUCAGAAACCUUGGGCUGCUUAUUAAAUCUUUAAUAUUCAGCUUUCUCAGUUACCGGAUGGGAAGACUAGAUGUUCACUGUGACCCCUCCGAGCUUUGCCAUCCCCUGUUCUAAGCUCCCUCCCGGCCCUGACAAGCCCUGUUCUAAGCCCCCUCCCGGCCC
Molecule: long non-coding RNA, 18801 nt
Organism: Sarcophilus harrisii (Tasmanian devil)
Lineage: Eukaryota; Metazoa; Chordata; Mammalia; Dasyuromorphia; Dasyuridae
Source: Ensembl